RNAcentral lists this unclassified non-coding RNA (773 nucleotides) under uncultured fungus. Its description in RNAcentral is "partial contains ITS1, 5.8S and ITS2". The stretch from base 189 to 342 matches the Rfam family "5.8S ribosomal RNA". The record is from RNAcentral. Lineage: Eukaryota; Fungi.
GAAUUGGAAGGGAAUUUAGGAGUUGGUUUGAUGCUGGCCGACAACCCCCAGGGCAUGUGCACGCCUUCUCCUUCAUCCACACACACCUGUGCACUUGUGAGACGGAGGAUUAAUUUCCUCCGUCUACUAAUCACACAAACUCAUUGUAAUUGAACUGAAUGUAAUUGAUGUAACACAUCAUUUGAACUAAGUUUCAACAACGGAUCUCUUGGCUCUCGCAUCGAUGAAGAACGCAGCGAAAUGCGAUAAGUAAUGUGAAUUGCAGAAUUCAGUGAAUCAUCGAAUCUUUGAACGCAUCUUGCGCUCCUUGGUAUUCCUUGGAGCAUGCCUGUUUGAGUAUCAUGAGCAAAUCUCAAAGUCAAUUCCUUAAUUGGUUUUGCUUUGGACUUGGAGGUCUUGCAGAUUUCACAGUCUGCUCCUCUUAAAUGCAUUAGCUGGAUCUCAGUAAUUAUGCUUGGUUCCACUCGGCGUGAUAAGUAUCACUCGCUGAGGACACUGUUAAAAAGGUGGCCAGGAAAUUACUGAUUGAACCGCUUCUAACGGUCUAUUAAGUUAGACAAUUGACCCCUUAAGUUUGAUCUCAAAUCAGGUAGGACUACCCGCUGAACUUAAGCAUAUCAAUAAGCGGAGGAAAAGAAACUAACAAGGAUUCCCCUAGUAACGGCGAGUGAAGCGGGAAGAGCUCAAUUUAAAAUCUGACGGUGUAUUCCGUCCGAGUUGUAGCCUAGAGAAGCAUCAUCCGCGCUGGACCGUGUACAAGUCUCCCGGACGCU